CUUGCUAGAUUGAUGGCGAGUGGCGAACGGGUGAGUAUACAUCGGAACGUGCCCUGUAGUGGGGGAUACCUAGUCGAAAGAUUAGCUAAUCCCGCAUACGACCUGAGGGUGAAAGUGGGGGACCGCAAGGCCUCAUGCUAUAGGAGCGGCCGAUGUCUGAUUAGCUAGUUGGUGAGGUAAAGGCUCACCAAGGCGCCGAUCAGUAGCUGGUCUGAGAGGCCGUUCUGCCGGCUCUGGGACUGAGCCCCGGCCCAGACUCCUACGGGAGGCAGCAGUGGGGAAUUUUGGACAAUGGGCGAAAGCCUGAUCCAGCAAUGCCGCGUGUGUGAAGAAGGCCUUCGGGUUGUAAAGCACUUUUGUCCGGAAAGAAAUGGCUCUGGUUAAUACCUGGGGUCGAUGACGGAACC
This 407-nucleotide ribosomal RNA is filed under the name uncultured bacterium. Its description in RNAcentral is "bacterial SSU rRNA". It matches the Rfam family "Bacterial small subunit ribosomal RNA", at positions 76 to 479 of the family's 1533-position model. The record is from RNAcentral.